Molecule: ribosomal RNA, 465 nt
Filed under: uncultured bacterium
Lineage: Bacteria
Description: partial 16S ribosomal RNA
Rfam family: Bacterial small subunit ribosomal RNA
Source: RNAcentral
GACGAACGCUGGCGGCGUGCUUAACACAUGCAAGUCGAACGGAAAGACCCCCUUGUGGGGUACUCGAGUGGCGAACGGGCGAGUAACACGUGAGUAACCUACCCUUGACUUUGGGAUAACUUCAGGAAACUGGGGCUAAUACCGGAUAGGAGCUCCUGCUGCAUGGUGGGGGUUGGAAGGUUUCGGCGGUUGGGGAUGGACUCGCGGCUUAUCAGCUUGUUGGUGGGGUAGUGGCUCACCAAGGCUUUGACGGGUAGCCGGCCUGAGAGGGUGACCGGCCACAUUGGGACUGAGAUACGGCCCAGACUCCUACGGGAGGCAGCAGUGGGGAAUAUUGCACAAUGGGCGGAAGCCUGAUGCAGCAACGCCGCGUGCGGGAUGACGGCCUUCGGGUUGUAAACCGCUUUCGCCUGUGACGAAGCGUGAGUGACGGUAAUGGGUAAAGAAGCACCGGCUAACUACGUG